ACAGAUAUUCCAAAAAAGAAGAUAUAAAUAUGACUAUAAAAGACAUGAAAAGAUGUUUAACCCUGUUAGUCAUCAUGGAAAUGCAAAUUAAAACCACCAUACAGACACUAGAGUGGUUUAAAUUUGAAUGACUUCCAACACCAAAUGCCAGACAGGACGUAGAGCAACUGGAUGUCUCAUGCUCACUGGCAGAAGGGAAAACUACUGUGUGUGACAGGAAGAUGGACUUACCCAACCUUCAGCAUUCUCAAUCUCUUGUCUAUUAACAUAUGUUUGAAACGUGCAUUCAAAGCAAACAUCUAGGAGGAAGAUGGGAAAAGCAUUCUUGCCCCUGUUCUACAGAAGUAAUUGAAGUUCAUGACAUUCAAGCUCAUUCAUCAGUAAAUGAAUUUGGGUCAUGCUUU
This 404-nucleotide long non-coding RNA is filed under the name Pongo abelii (Sumatran orangutan). RNAcentral describes it as "lincRNA". The record is from RNAcentral. Lineage: Eukaryota; Metazoa; Chordata; Mammalia; Primates; Hominidae.